RNAcentral lists this ribosomal RNA (482 nucleotides) under uncultured bacterium. Its description in RNAcentral is "partial 16S ribosomal RNA". It matches the Rfam family "Bacterial small subunit ribosomal RNA", at positions 28 to 507 of the family's 1533-position model. The record is from RNAcentral.
GAUGAACGCUGGCGGCGUGCCUAAUACAUGCAAGUCGAACGCUUCACUUCGGUGAAGAGUGGCGCACGGGUGAGCGAUCCAUAAGUAACCAGGCAUCUACCGGGGGCUAACUGAUGGAAACGUCAGCUAAGACCGCAUAGGAGUAGAGAUCGCAUGAACUCCAGCUGAAAAGUGCUACGGGACUGGUAGAUGAUGGGCUUCUGGCGCAUUGGCUUGUUGGUAGGGUAACGGCCUACGAAGGCGACGAUGCGUAGCCGACCUGAGAGGGUGAGCGGCCACACUGGGAGUGAGACACGCCCCAGGGUCCUACGGUAGGCAGCAGUAGGGUAUGUGCGGCAGUGGGGGGAACCCUGACCGAGCGACGCCGCGUGAGGUAAGAAGUAGUUCGUUGUGUGAUCUUCGGUCAUAGAUGAAGAACGGUGUAUAUAGGUAAUGAUAUCCGAGUGACGGUACUCGAUAAGAAAGCACCGGCUAACUACGUG